GUGCUCACUUCAGCAGCACACACACUAAAACUGGACCGACACAGAGAAGAAUAAGCAUGGGUCCUACACAAGGACAACACGGAAAUUUGUGAAGCAUUAUGUAUUUUU
Molecule: small nuclear RNA, 108 nt
Organism: Lutra lutra (Eurasian river otter)
Lineage: Eukaryota; Metazoa; Chordata; Mammalia; Carnivora; Mustelidae
Source: RefSeq, a predicted model, not a curated record